This 243-nucleotide long non-coding RNA is filed under the name Homo sapiens (human). Its description in RNAcentral is "HSALNT0254998". Lineage: Eukaryota; Metazoa; Chordata; Mammalia; Primates; Hominidae. The record is from RNAcentral.
GAGUGGGGAGGGAGGGAAGAAGUGUUCUCCAUGCAAGGACCUAUCUGUGCAAAAGCCCAGAGCUGGGACUCCAUGUCCAGGGCAGCUCUGGUCCAUUGCUGCCCACUUCUGGGCCUGCUUAUCCAUCUGGAUGGGAAACAGGCUCAGAGAGGGGCAGAGUCAAUGGAGGACACCAGCAUGUAGGGAACAGUGUCAGCCCCAGAUUCCUGCCUCCAGACUGUCCUAAACACCACCCUCCCCGCG